UAUGGGAUCGGGGAUCAGGGAUUUAUGGGAUUUAUGGGGUUUGGGGUUUAUGGGAUUGUGGGAUGUGUGGUACAGGGAUCAGUUCCUGCCCCUCGUGUUCCACAGACACCCCAGCCCCGAGUACUCCCGCUACUUUUCCCGGCGGGAUCUGGAGGCGUUUUCGGCGGAGCCGCUGCUGCUGUUCCCCACUCACUACACGGGGGAGCCCGGCUACGUCAGCGACACCGAGACGGCCCCGGCGCCGCCGCGCGACGAGCUCUGACCCCAAUAAAACUCACACUUGGAUUUUUAAACGGCUUUUUGCUGGUUUUAUUUUCGGGAUUUUUUUUGGGAUUUUUGGGGAUUUUUUAUGGGGUUUUUUGGGAUUUUUUUUGGAUUUUUUGGGGAUUUUUUUAUGGGUUAUUUUGGGGUUUUUUGGGGAUUUUUUUCUUGGGUUUUUGGGGAUUUUUUCUGGGUUUUAUUGGGAUUUUUUCCAGGGUUUUUUGGGAUUUUUUCUGGGUUUUAUUGGGAUUUUUUCUGGCUUUUAUUGGGAUUUUUUCUGGGUUUUAUUGGGAUUUUUUCUGGGUUUUUUGGGAUUUCUUUUUUGAUUUUUUGGGGGAUUUUUU
This 605-nucleotide long non-coding RNA is filed under the name Cyanistes caeruleus (blue tit). Its description in RNAcentral is "lncRNA (ENSCCEG00000000664.1)". The record is from RNAcentral. Lineage: Eukaryota; Metazoa; Chordata; Aves; Passeriformes; Paridae.